RNAcentral lists this ribosomal RNA (1159 nucleotides) under uncultured organism. RNAcentral describes it as "SSU rRNA". It matches the Rfam family "Bacterial small subunit ribosomal RNA", at positions 18 to 1145 of the family's 1533-position model. The record is from RNAcentral.
CAUGGCUCAGGACGAACGCUGGCGGCGUGCUUAACACAUGCAAGUCGAACGAAGAGCGACGGAAGCUUGCUUCUAUCAAUCUUAGUGGCGAACGGAUGAGUAACGCGUAAUCAACCUGCCCUUCAGAGGGGGACAACAGUUGGAAACGACUGCUAAUACCGCAUACGAUCUAAUCUCGGCAUCGAGGAUGGAUGAAAGGUGGCCUCUACAUGUAAGCUAUCACUGAAGGAGGGGAUUGCGUCUGAUUAGCUAGUUGGAGGGGCAACGGCCCACCAAGGCGAUGAUCAGUAGCCGGUCUGAGAGGAUGAACGGCCACAUUGGGACUGAGACACGGCCCAGACUCCUACGGGAGGCAGCAGUGGGGAAUCUUCCGCAAUGGACGAAAGUCUGACGGAGCAACGCCGCGUGAGUGAUGACGGCCUUCGGGUUGUAAAGCUCUGUUAAUCGGGACGAAAGGCCUUCUUGCGAAUAGUGAGAAGGAUUGACGGUACCGGAAUAGAAAGCCACGGCUAACUACGUGCCAGCAGCCGCGGUAAUACGUAGGUGGCAAGCGUUGUCCGGAGUUAUUGGGCGUAAAGCGCGCGCAGGCGGAUAGGUCAGUCUGUCUUAAAAGUUCGGGGCUUAACCCCGUGAUGGGAUGGAAACUGCCAAUCUAGAGUAUCGGAGAGGAAAGUGGAAUUCCUAGUGUAGCGGUGAAAUGCGUAGAUAUUAGGAAGAACACCAGUGGCGAAGGCGACUUUCUGGACGAAAACUGACGCUGAGGCGCGAAAGCCAGGGGAGCGAACGGGAUUAGAUACCCCGGUAGUCCUGGCCGUAAACGAUGGGUACUAGGUGUAGGAGGUAUCGACCCCUUCUGUGCCGGAGUUAACGCAAUAAGUACCCCGCAUGGGGAGUACGACCGCAAGGAGUGAAACUCAAAGGAAUCGACGGGGGCCCGCACAAGCGGUGGAGUAUGUGGUUUAAUUUGACGCAACGCGAAGAACCUUACCAGGUCUUGACAUUGAUGGACAGAACCAGAGAUGGUUCUUGUUAUUCGGAAGCCAGAAAACAGGUGGUGCACGGUCGUCGUCAGCUAGUGUAGUGAGAUGUUGGGGUAAGUUCCGCAACGAGCGCAACCCCUAUCUUCUGGGGCCAGCACGUAAUGGUGGGAACUCAUGAG